AGAUACGGCCAUACCAUGAUGAAAGCAAAGGAUCCCGUCCGAUCUCCUCAGUCAAGCAUCAUGUCCUGCUAUUUCGAAAAGUCGCGGCACCAGGCUGUCUUCC
RNAcentral lists this ribosomal RNA (103 nucleotides) under Saitoella complicata NRRL Y-17804. Lineage: Eukaryota; Fungi; Ascomycota; Saitoellomycetes; Saitoellales; Saitoellaceae. The record is from RNAcentral.